AGUGCAGCCUCUUUAUAUUUGAUGGGCGCCACUUCUUCGUACUGGGCACAUCAGACUGUCUAUGGGAGGGGGGAAAAGAUGGAGUUCUCCCAUGAUCCAUAUGUCAUAUAUAUUUCAGUAGUUUAAGAGUGGGCUCCACUUUACGUUAGAUUUGGACAGACCACAGACCUCAACGUUAUCUCUGAGCCGGUGGCAGCUUUUGUAUUCCUUAGCUUGCGUUUGUAUGGGAGUUUGGUGUUGCACAGCAGUGAAGAGUGAGGUGCACAAGGCAAGAAGCAUUGGGACAUCCAAUUUUGUUUUGUCUCCUCUUCUCUCUAAUUAUGAUCACACCGCAACCAAAAAGUCACGCCAUUCCCACCUUCUCCACUCAUUGUUCGUCUCUUUUUAAGCUUUUCUUGGUCUCAAACAACGACUAUACCUCUUUCUCUCUCUCUAGAUAUCUAUCUAUAAGUAUACUCCAUCUCUCACUCGAAUUCAAUGGCUGCGGUGUGGUUGUUGUCAUGUGGGUUUAACAAAGGGUCUCUCACAGAGGUUAUUUGGCAUUCUGUCCACCUCCAAGUACUGAUCCCUCUCUUAUACAUCCCCAAGGAGAACAACAACUCGAUGGAGGUGGGCAUCCUGCCAACUGACCUAUGUUGGCUUCUCUUUGUGAAACUCAUAUGAUAGAUCUCUUCGCCAAGUAUAAUUUCUGCAGUAAAGAAGAAGAAGAAGAAGAAGAAGAUCGAGUCCCCCACUAGGCUGGGAAGAGGAUGAGAGCUGACAACAUCAAAAGCUGUCUUUUGCAUGUAUGGUGGAGAUAAGAUACGAUGAUCUCUGUUGAAGAGAAGAGGAUAUAUUUAUAGAGUUAAUGUACUGGUAAACUAGUGUUCUCAACGGGAUGACACAUUUAUUGCUUCAUUCCAUCUCUAAGUUCAUUGUGUGGGUGGGUAUAGGAGAGAAAUAGAUAGGUGGACAUCAAAAUGGUGGAGUGCGUCAUUGCCUUCCCAUCGGGCGUCGAGCAAGAGGUAGGUUGAUAUCAUCAUUACCAUUGCACCAGCAUUGCUGUUUCUUGUGGAGUAGGGAUCUAAUGAUGGAAGGCAGAACACUUCAUGGCGUCUUGCGAUGUCAAUGUUAACAGGCUUGCUUGGGAAUCUCAAAGUCUCAGCAGACAACUUGAAGUCAGUAGGAAGGAAGAAUGCACAGUGAUGAAAGAGGCUAUAACUGGCAUUAGGGAGAAUGGACUUGCUCUAACACCAAUGUUUGGAUGUGAUCAUUACGAAUGAUCAGAUCAAGAGGAUGAAACCUUUUGUAAACAUACUGUUACCAUGUUAGGUAAAUGAUUACUUACUCCCAAAUUGCAUCUGAGUUCACAUAAUAUAUUACUGAUAUUUUGAAAAGCUCAAUUGGCUUGCUUUUGUGGAGAUCAAAAGCUUGACAGUACUGGCAUUCUCUGGAUAUAUGUAUAUUGUUCUCAAAAUUAUCUACUAUCUUCAGGUUUAAAAGACACAUUCAAAGCUUA
Molecule: long non-coding RNA, 1498 nt
Organism: Musa acuminata AAA Group (dessert banana)
Lineage: Eukaryota; Viridiplantae; Streptophyta; Magnoliopsida; Zingiberales; Musaceae
Exons: 3
Source: RefSeq, a predicted model, not a curated record